GGUAGACUCUACGCACAUGACUAUUGACCCUCUAAAACCACACAUUAAAACCUUUAAAGACAUGGUAGCCAUUGCUAAUCCCACGUUUGAAGACACUAUGGCUGUGGAGACUGGGUUUUCAGAUACUAACCUAUGGCUUGAGUGCAUGAGGUAUAAUGCUAAUUCACACAAUAAAACUGUUUUGUUUGUGGAGGGGCCAGACCCCAUCUGGGUACAGUGCCCUUCAGUCUACCUUCAGAUGUUGAAAUAUGUUUCCCAAGUCUCUUUGCACAGUCACCAACAAACUCAUCUGUGUGUGAAUCAUGGAAAAAGGUAUACCCAAUAACCCAAGGGAAUAUCAAGCCACCUGAUGGGAUCACCGUGUACCCAGGUAACUACACUUGCCAUACAACACACGGAACCACAGAUAAAUUUGUGGGUAAGUUCCCUUCUGGUACUACCUAUCGAGAACCUCCCACUGCCCUAUUAGUAAUCAUGUUAAGUCCAUGGGAGACAUUUAUUGGCGGUGAUGUGGUGACAUGCAGAUCAGAUCUAAAAUGACUGGCCUGUGAUGGGGUGAAUGCACUCUGACCAAAGCUAUCAUGCCCAUACAUAUAAUUUCUGAUAACCACCAAGGCCCACUUGAUUCCCCACACACGUACUUCAGGAUAAAAAGUGAAACCCCUAUCCAAGGUAGUUUCGACCCACACAUAUAUAUCGAUGCCAUAGGUGUACCAAGGGAGGUACCAAACGAGUUCAAGGCCAGAGAUGAGGUUGCGACAGGAUUCGAAUCCUUGAUCCCACUCAUCACCGCUAACAAGAAUGUUAAUUGGAUCAAUUAUAUUUACUAUAAUUAGCAACCCUUUGUCAAUUACACGAAAGAUGCCCUCCAGGGCUUGGCAGAACAGUUACAGACUACCU
This is a non-coding RNA of Pelobates cultripes (western spadefoot toad), 900 nucleotides long. The record is from the annotation of a GenBank genome assembly. NCBI's taxonomy places the organism in Eukaryota, Metazoa, Chordata, Amphibia, Anura, Pelobatidae.